This 279-nucleotide unclassified non-coding RNA is filed under the name plant metagenome. RNAcentral's name for it is "partial contains small subunit ribosomal RNA, internal transcribed spacer 1, and 5.8S ribosomal RNA". The record is from RNAcentral.
UUUCCGUAGGUGAACCUGCGGAAGGAUCAUUACCGAGUCUUGGACUCUCACGCCCAAGCCGCCACCCUGUGUUUUUGCGAACUGGUUCCUUUGGCUGACGCGCACCGAUGAGAGCCCGCCUGAGGCUCCCCGCUUUGGGCCCCUACACGUAACUAGCGAGCAAAAGUACUUAAAAAAACUACCAUCGUAAAUAAUUGCAAUAAUGGAUAACAUCGUUCAACAACGGAUCACUUGGGUCUGGCAUCGGUGAAGAACACAGCAGAUCGGAAGUCCACACGC